UCUUUCUGCAGCUCUGCUGUUGGUGAAGCUUUUCCUACUAACACAGAAUCUUCUGAUGUGGAAAAAGACCUUGACAAAUCAUGCUAUGAUGUGCUGAAGUCUAGGGGUCAGCCUAAUGGCAAACAUCACCAGAAACAAAGCUACCUAACCAUUUCUCCUCACUCACAGGAAUAACCUUUUAAAAGUUGCCAUUUUCAGGAUCCAAUGUAGGCUCUCUGCUUCUCUGUCUUUGUGCUUGUUUUUAAUUGCAUUGUUCUUCAAAUUUUUCACAGCAUCGCUUAUUUUCACAUGGGGAAUGAAAUAAAUUAAGAUAAGAGGUUCAAUUUUUGACUGUAACUUCUGCACGUAACUCCUUUGGUUUUCGUUGGAGAUACUGGCCUAAACAAAUUGUCUUAGGCAUAGCUUCUAUGGAUAGUUCUGCUUAUGAAAUAUUGUAUCUAUAAUGAUGAGAAGUCAAACUUCAAAAGAACAAUGAUAACUGCAGAAAAAAGGGUUCUGUUCAAACUUCUCUACAUUUUUGCCACCUCAUUAUGACUACUUAUUCAUGAAAGUAUCUGCCAAUGAAUUCUACGUGAAUUCUACAAUGAAUUCUUCUUUCUUCAGAGCAUUUUAUUCAGAUAAUGCAAUAUGCAUUUCAGGUCGGAUUUGAUACAUAAGACAUAACCCUAUGUGUCAAUGUUUCUGAAUAACCUCAUGUUCUCUCCAGGUAAGUUUUCACUGACA
This is a long non-coding RNA of Tympanuchus pallidicinctus (lesser prairie-chicken), 723 nucleotides long. RefSeq lists it as uncharacterized. The record is from RefSeq and is a predicted model, not a curated record. NCBI's taxonomy places the organism in Eukaryota, Metazoa, Chordata, Aves, Galliformes, Phasianidae. The transcript has 3 exons.